Molecule: ribosomal RNA, 407 nt
Filed under: uncultured bacterium
Lineage: Bacteria
Description: bacterial SSU rRNA
Rfam family: Bacterial small subunit ribosomal RNA
Source: RNAcentral
AUUAGGAAUCUCGCGCAAUGGGGGCAACCCUGACGCAGCGACGCCGCGUGGAGGAGGACGGCCUUCGGGUUGUAAACUCCUUUUGACGAGGAAGAAACAGAUGACGGUACUCGUCGAAUAAGCCCCGGCUAACUCCGUACCAGCAGCCGCGGUAAUACGGAGGGGGCGAGCGUUGUCCGAAGUUACUGGGCGUAAAGCGCGCGUAGGCGGGUUGGCAAGUCCGCUGUGAAAGCCCGAGGCUUAACCUCGGAGGGUCGGUGGAUACUGCCAGUCUUGAAGGUGCUAGGGGGAGAUGGAAUUACCGGUGUAGCGGUGAAAUGCGUAGAUAUCGGUAGGAACACCAGUGGCGUAGGCGGUCUCCUGGGGCAUUCUUGACGCUGAGGCGCGAAAGCUGGGGGAGCGAACGG